RNA transcript from Lynx canadensis (Canada lynx), 3768 nucleotides. It is a transcript of the gene named patr class I histocompatibility antigen, A-2 alpha chain, with no coding region annotated. Lineage: Eukaryota; Metazoa; Chordata; Mammalia; Carnivora; Felidae. The transcript is spliced from 8 exons. The record is from RefSeq and is a predicted model, not a curated record.
GCUGGGACUUCUAUUCUCCAGACCCUGAGGAUGCGGGUCGUGAUGCCCCGAACCCUCCUCUUGCUGCUGUCGGGGGCCCUGGUCGUGACCCAGACCUGCGCGGGCUCCCAUUCCUUGAUGUAUUUCGGCACCGCGGUGUCCCGGCCCAGCCUCGGGGAGCCCCGGUACUUGGAAGUCGGCUACGUGGACGACACACAGUUCGCGCGGUUCGACAGCGACGCCUCGAGUCCGAGGAUGGAGCCACGCGUGCAGUGGUUGAAGCAGGAGGCGCCGGAGUAUUGGGAGCAGGAGACGCGGGGCGCCAAGGACACCGCACAGACUUUCCGACUGAGCCUGAACACGCUGCGCGGCUACUACAACCAGAGCGAAGCCGGGUCUCACACCAUCCAGUGGCUGUCUUCCUGCGAAGUGGGGCCCGAUUGGCGCCUCCUCCGGGGAUACUGGCAGUUCGCCUAUGACGGCGAGGAUUACAUCGCCCUGAACCAGGACCUGCGCUCUUGGACCGCGGCGGACACGGCGGCGCAGAUCACCCGCCGCAAGUGGGAGGCUGCCGGAGCAGCAGAGCAUCAAAGGAACGACCUGCAGGUCACGUGCGUAGAGUGGCUCCGGAAGUACUUGGAGAGGGGGAACAAGACACUGCUGCGCACAGACCCCCCGAAGACACACAUCACCCACUACCCCACUUCUGACCAUGAUGUCACCCUGAAGUGCUGGGCCCUGGGUUUCUAUCCUGCGGAGAUCACCCUAACCUGGCAGCGUGAUGGGGAGGACCUGAUCCAGGACACGGAGUUUGUGGACACUAGGCCUGGGGGAGAUGGGACCUUCCAGAAGUGGGUGGCUGUGGUGGUGCCUUCUGGAGAGGAGCAGAGAUACACGUGCCAUGUGCAGCAUGGGGGGUUGCCCAAGCCCCUCAUGCUGAAAUGGGAGUCCCCUCCUCAGCGCAGCAUUCCCAUGGUGGGCAUUGUUGCUGGUCUGGUUUCCUUUGUGGUCAUCAGUGCUGUGGUGGUUGGAGCUGUCAUAUGGAGGAGGUAGAGCCAAGGUGAAGAGAAAGGAGUUAUGCUCAGUCUGCAUGUAGUGACAGUGCCCAGGGCUCUCUCCAUUGCUAAAGUGUGAGCCAGCUGCCUUGUGGGGGACUGAGUGAUGCAAGAUUUGUUCACUUUCCCACUUUGUGACUAAUGCCCCUGAUAUCUCUUUCUACAAAGGGCUUCGGCAUGUGUCCUCGUUCCUAUUACCAUAAUGUGAGGAGGUGGGGAGACUGCCCCCCGCCUCCAUGACCCCACCCUACACUGACCUGGGUUCUCUUUCCUCAUCUGCUUUCAUGAUCCAGUAGAGGGACAGUGGGCCACCUCCAUCCCUGUCUUUACUUUAUGUUUCACUGUGCUACAACUUCUUACUUCCUUGUUGAACGUAGGGCUCUGGAUGUGAAUUUGUUUUUCCAGUUCUGGUCAUGAGGAGUUGAUCAGUUAGUUAAAGAAGAAGAUUCCUAAAGUUUGAGAGGGGAAAGAAAUGGAAACCCUGAGAACCUCCCAGAAGCUGCAGGUUUGGUGUGCCGAGUCUGCUCUGGGUGGGGACAGGAGAAAGCUGUGAGGGGCCUAGCGUGGUGGAGUCUCAUGCCCAGUUGGUACAACAUGGAUGUGACCUGGUCACUGCUCAGCUGGGGAACCUCUUUGCGCUUUUGUCUUUGUCCCUCCAGUAGCACCUGCCUUUCCGGGACUGUGAUCACUCAGGAUAUCACCUGGAUAUCUGGAUAUUGCCCAGACCUCGUCCUGCCUCCAGGACUAUGGGCAACAAGACAUUGUAUGGCCGGGUCAGCUGAGGCUCAGGCCUGGGUCGGGCCUCAGUCCCGUCUCUGGGUGUUUAUUCGUUGUUUCUUUGUUUCUGUAGAGCAUUAGGCCCGUUCUCUUUUUUGUGUGGGAGUUCUGGUCUAAUUCACCUGUGGGUGUCUCCUCGGUGACAGCAGAAGGAGAUGUUUGGCCUGUCGGCGUCUGCACAAGGCCCUGGGUGGCCCUGUGCAUAGGAAUCUGUAGUAUCCAGAGGUUAUUUUCAGGCUCAUUCAGGUCUUGCCCUCCUUCUCGGGCUUGAUUGUUCUUCCCAUCUUUUCUGAAGUCUUCUGAGAGGAGCAGAUUCUAGCAGACAGGAAGCAUGCCAUAAUUUCUUAUUUUAAAUUAGUUCUUGUUCUGUUUCCAUCCUCUGCUUGCCCACCCUCUGCCCUGGUGAUCCUGGUGCUGGCUCCAGCUCCAAGUCAUGGAGUUAUGAAGCAGAGUCUCCUUAGAUUUAUAUUUGGUUGGGAAAUAGCACCUGUGAAUCGAGGAUGGUUUUUGAAAAUGGGCAUCUCCUUGGUGUGCAGGGGAGUUGGUGUGAGAGUGGGGAUGGGAGGGGGAGGGCAGUGCUGUGAGAGGAGCACAGGGGCACUAAUGGCAGUGUGAAGGGUGAUUGUGCUGUUGCUGCCACAGAGCUGCUGUGGUCUGAGGCUACAUUAGUAAAGAUACUGCCUCCAGAUUAGGGAGGUGCUCUGCACCGAUUGCUCCUUCUCUGUGUGUGUUGUGUGCAAGAUAUAUGACACACUGUUUUCUGCAUCUGGGAAACACGAUAGAAGUUUCUGUGUUUAGGACAAGGCGCUGCUGCUGGUCUUUACAUCACACUUUCAGUAGCAAGAAUGGAGAUGAGGAUUCCCACACGGCUGUGCAUCGGCCUCACUUGCAGGGCUCGUUAAAUAAGCGAUUCCUUGAUCUUGCACCGAGGACUCUGUGGAUCUGGGGAGAGGCCUGUGCAUUUUGUGAGAAGCCUGGCGCUCAGCCAGAUCUGGAGCCAGUGAGGUCAGCGAUCAGAGCAGCCAGCCUGGGGAGGGGCAUUAAAGCCACAUUUAAAUGUGUGUGUGUUUUUUUUUUUUUUUUUUUUUUAAUCUUUGGAGAGGAAAGGGAAGGCAUAACGUUGUCAAUAUGAGAUGUGGUGUUGUGAGAUGUGUGUUAUCGUAUCCCAGGGUAUGGUUGGGUGGGAGGACUAGGGAGUGGUUCGCGGUUCAGUGUGACGAACACCUCGGAAUGCUUGCUCUCGGCAACUACUUCCCUGAUUGACUUUUCAGAGCAAACAAUGGGAUCUAAGCUUUUUUGAACUUAGCCAAAAGGUACUGUGCGCACACACACACACACACACACACACACACACACACAUACAUUUUAUAUGCAUAUAAAGUAUUCUUUUGGGGAAGAUUGUAGAACAGGCUUUGGCUACACAGCCAGGAACAGAGUCCACAAGUGCACGUUAGGGUGGGUCUCACACAGGAACUGCGGCCUCUGCUGCUGGGCACAGACGUCACUGCUCACACUGCUGCCUCCGUUGAAGCAGGACACUGGCCCCUGCGGCUAGGACUGACAUCGCUGCUGCUUGUGGGACCGGGUGACACACUGCCACUCACGCCGCCUGUGCAAGUACAUUCUGCACAGCUGCACCUUCUCUUUGUCACCAGGUCCAGCAUGUGGUUACCUGCCUGGCAGAGCCUCACGCCAUGUCUAACUGGAAGGAUGUUGGGACAGCAGGUCCUUCCUCUUCUGUGGAGAGAGGCGGCGUCUUCCAAAGACUCUAACUGUGGAAUUCUCAUGUAGGGGGGCAGUGCCGGUGCUGGGGGUGAGGGCUGGAGAAAGGACGGCUGAUUGCCAUUCUCGGAGCACAGACCUGAGGCUGCAGCUUGAUCUGGUGCCCUGCAGGCACUCAGGCUCAGUUGGAGGAGCAAGUUUCUAGUAAACGACAUCGCUCUUCUUGUUCCCUGGA